UGACUUGGACUAUGAUGUGUUGCCUUCGCAAAGCAUUGUGUGGCCAUCCAUUGUCUUUCUGAUAGUGCUUCAAACAGGACUGUAAUGUUAUCUUGUUUGGCGUAGCAUAACAUAAUGUUGCCUCAAGAGCUUCCAAUCUCCGAAUAAGGCUGUGUUGUACAGCACAGAGUGGAGUGGUGUCAAAUAGAAAAUAAGAAAUGCACUGAAGAGGAGGAAAGAAAAUGAAAGCAAAAAAGCUGAAGAAUGGGGAAAAGAUAAAGUAAUAUGAAUAUUAGGAUUCCACUGGGGAAAAAAGCGAUGAUGGGGGCAGUGAUGAUGAAAGGAGCACAUUCCUGACAACUGGAGACCAUGCUGUUUUGCUAAAAAUGAACACUGAUCUUCUCAGGGAACAAUACAAUACCGACUAAAUCAGCAUACAUAGAUGUGUCUUAGGGCGUGGUUCCUUUCAAGGCCCUUGGAAGAAUGCCAGGCAGCAGAGAGAGAAAACAGAAGUGUGAAAUACUACUGUGCAUCAGAACAUCCUUAAAAUGAACAUCAUGUAUUCUCAGCUUUGAGAACUGAAUUCCAUGAGUUGUAAUUGAAUCUCUGUCAGACCCAUGGGGCUCAGUUCUUCAGCUUGGAUAUCUCUGUCUUCACAUACACAGGAAAUCAAAGAACCACUUGAUCAUUCAUUGACUCUUCUGGAUGGCAGUAGCAGAAAACGGGAAAGAAAAAGAAUAAAUGAUGUGAUAAUUUUUGGCAGAGAGGUUUCAUUUCAGGGGCUAGUUUCUUUUAUGUUAAAUAAUUAUGUAAAGGGUGAAUCUUCCAAAAGAAACCUCUACCUCAUUGCCCCUUUAUUGCUGUUCACCAUUUCACCCCCACUCCAUCUUAUUUAGAGAUCUAUGUUUAUCUUUUCUGAUUGAUUCUAUUAUACUCCCUACUUCAUGUCUUAUGUGGAUGAGGGUGUUGUGCUCUUUAAAACACCUGCCAUGUUCUGCACGAAAAGUUUCUGUGGUGAAAUCAAUGAGUGUUUAGCAUCUACAGGCUUGGUACUGCAACCACUUCCUUACAAGCAGCUCCACUGUAGUCACUGGGUUGGAUGCCAUUGGUCAUGGCCUUUCCUCUCUGGAGAUGUGACCAAAAUCAUAAUCUGAGCUCACAAGUGAAAAUGAAUUUGGUAGCUUGCUCCAAAUCUAUAUUCCAGCUCACCCCCUCCCUCCCAAAUUAUACUUUCUCUGCAGUGGAUCAUGACAUCGCUUUUGUCACCAUGAUGCAACAUUCUUAAACGUACACAUGCAUAAAGUCAGUGGUGUCAGAAACCUAAAUGUUCAGAAUUUGGGAUAGGUUCAGAUAAGCAUCCUAAAGCAUAGUUAAAAACUAUCCAAUUGCAUUCUUUUUCUUUUAAUGGAUUACAUUUACAUUAAAAAUGAAAAGAAGCUGUAACUGCUGCCAUGGAAACAUGCAUGAAUUCACAUUGAUGCCCUUUUCAGAGAGAUUUAUAUUCUAAGGAUGGAUAGGUUUCUCAGUGACUGAAGUGUACUGUAGUUACCAGUCUAAAGACACACACACACACAGACAGACAGACAGAGUGUUUCAUUUCCUGCCUAGCAGAGGACCUGAAAUUUUAGGUCAGUGAUAUGAGAAGAUUCUACAAAAGCAGAGGAGGAAAGAGAUUAUUAACUCAAUAUCUAAUGCGCAGGCAACACUUAAAUUAAUCUUUUUUUUUAAAGCUGAAGGCAAAAAAUGCCUGGAUUUCCUUCACUAACAGGCACAGCUUUGUGUGCCGAGCCAGGUCAGCUGAUGUACUGUGCAAUGCUAAACCACACAGGAUGGUUGACAAAGUCAAGAACAGUCUUUGAUGCAAAAAAGUUGUUGCAGUCAUGUUUCUUCCAGUGCAGUUCCUGGUGUGUGGCUUAAGUGAUGUUUUCACCAGAAAAAAAAAAGUAAGUGCAUGGACUAAAGCUGACACUAUGGAAAUUAGCUCAAACUGUACAUUAAGGAUUUAGCAAAUUGUAAGUGGGAUACAGCCACCAAAAAUUGGGAUUGUUUCCUGCAGGAGUGUACAAUAACAUUUGUAUAGCCCCUUCCUACCAAAGGCCUCCAUCUACUUUACAGACGUUAAAGUGAAGUAUUGCUGGAUAGGAUCAUACAGAUUAAAACUCACUAUCAAGCAUCACACUCUAGUAGUGUACUCACCUUGUAGUACACUCUUUCUACUCUUCCACCCACACCAUGACUUUACUACUACCAAGAGUACUAUAUACUACAGACCAUGCACCACAACAUUAUGUCUGCCCCACAGAGAUACCAGCCUUCCAUCACCUUGCAGUAUUAAGGUAUGUAUCAGUGGGGAGAAUAAUGCAGGCUAUUAUGCCCUGUAAAGUGGCUUACCUUUUAUUUUCCAUAAAUUUGUGUGAGAUAUAUUAUGUGUGUGGCAAAUGAAGUUGUUGUUGGUGUGUGUGUAUUAAUUUAAAAUAACAAUUCAUUUACUCUGUACACAAAGCACUAAGCAGCCAGCGGCCAAGGGAUUUAUGACCUUCAAACCUGCAACUCUUUUGAAGAAUUGUCCUUGGAAA
Long non-coding RNA from Mauremys reevesii (Reeves's turtle), 2555 nucleotides. RefSeq lists it as uncharacterized. The transcript is spliced from 4 exons. The record is from RefSeq and is a predicted model, not a curated record. NCBI's taxonomy places the organism in Eukaryota, Metazoa, Chordata, Testudines, Geoemydidae.